AUCGCUUCUCGGCCUUUUGGCUAAGAUCAAGUGUAGUAUCUGUUCUUAUCAGUUUAAAACUACAUUCAGAAUAGGACUAUAUGGAGUUUGGAAAGGUUCUUUUGUGGAAUUCUUGUCCCAAAAGCUUUGCUUGGCAACAACUGAGAAUAAUCAGACACCACACUCUACAGUCUCAGUUUUCUAAUUUUG
This is a non-coding RNA of Myotis lucifugus (little brown bat), 189 nucleotides long. The record is from Rfam. NCBI's taxonomy places the organism in Eukaryota, Metazoa, Chordata, Mammalia, Chiroptera, Vespertilionidae.